This 499-nucleotide ribosomal RNA is filed under the name uncultured bacterium. RNAcentral describes it as "SSU rRNA". It matches the Rfam family "Bacterial small subunit ribosomal RNA", at positions 26 to 519 of the family's 1533-position model. The record is from RNAcentral.
AGAUUGAACGCUGGCGGCGUGCCUAACACAUGCAAGUCGAGCGGUAACAGGUGUAGCAAUACAUGUUGACGAGCGGCGAACGGGUGAGUAAUGCUUCGGAAUCUACCCUCUAGUGGGGAAUAACCAGCCGAAAGGUUGGCUAAUACCGCACACGUCCUACGGGAGAAAGCAGGGGAUCGUAAGACCUUGCGCUGAUGGAUGAGCCGAAGUCGGAUUAGCUAGUUGGUGGGGUAACGGCUCACCAAGGCGACGAUCCGUAGCUGGUCUGAGAGGACGACCAGCCACACUGGAACUGAGACACGGUCCAGACUCCUACGGGAGGCAGCAGUGGGGAAUAUUGGACAAUGGGGGAAACCCUGAUCCAGCGACGCCGCGUGUGUGAAGAAGGCCUGCGGGUUGUAAAGCACUUUUAGUGGGGAUGAAAUGUGCAGGGUUAAUACCUCUGCUAUUUUGACCUAACCACAGAAAAGCACCGGCUAACUCUGUGCCAGCAGCCGUA